Pomacea canaliculata is the source of this 175-nucleotide long non-coding RNA. RefSeq lists it as uncharacterized. NCBI's taxonomy places the organism in Eukaryota, Metazoa, Mollusca, Gastropoda, Architaenioglossa, Ampullariidae. The record is from RefSeq and is a predicted model, not a curated record. The transcript has 2 exons.
AAAAAUAGUUCAUGAUGGUGGACUUUUCCAAGUUGCUAGAAUACGCCAAAAGCUUUUAUCUGCAGAGGGCGCUGGGUUACUGUGUUGUGCUCAUCACCAGCUUCUUCGUCAUUGUUCCCCUUGGUUUGUUGCAAACAGCCGGACAGUUUCGUUGUUCUGUCGGCUGUAAGACAAA